RNAcentral lists this ribosomal RNA (1028 nucleotides) under uncultured archaeon. RNAcentral describes it as "bacterial SSU rRNA". It matches the Rfam family "Archaeal small subunit ribosomal RNA", at positions 19 to 1054 of the family's 1478-position model. The record is from RNAcentral.
GGACCCGACUGCUAUCAGAGUGGGACUAAGCCAUGCGAGUCAACAUAGCAAUAUGUGGCAUACGGCUCAGUAACACGUAGUCAACAUGCUCAGGGGACGUGGAUAACCUCGGGAAACUGAGGAUAAACCGCGAUAGGUCAUCACUUCUGGAAUGGGUAAUGACUUAAAUCUAUAUGGCCCCUGGAUUGGACUGCGGCCGAUCAGGCUGUUGGUGAGKWAAUGGCCCACCAAACCUGUAACCGGUACGGGCUCUGAGAGGAGGAGCCCGGAGAUGGGCACUGAGACAAGGGCCCAGGCCCUAUGGGGCGCAGCAGGCGCGAAACCUCUGCAAUAGACGAAAGCUUGACGGGGUUACUCUGAGUGAUUUCCGUUAAGGAGAUCUUUUGGCACCUCUAAAAAUGGUGCAGAAUAAGGGGUGGGCAAGUCUGGUGUCAGCCGCCGCGGUAAUACCAGCACCCCGGGUGGUCGGGACGUUUAUUGGGCCUAAAGCAUCCGUAGCCGGUUCUACAAGUCUUCCGUUAAAUCCACCUGCUUAACAGAUGGGCUGCGGAAGAUACUAUAGAGCUAGGAGGCGGGAGAGGCAAGCGGUACUCGAUGGGUAGGGGUAAAAUCCGUUGAUCCAUUGAAGACCACCAGUGGCGAAGGCGGCUUGCCAGAACGCGCUCGACGGUGAGGGAUGAAAGCUGGGGGAGCAAACCGGAUUAGAUACCCGGGUAGUCCCAGCUGUAAACGAUGCAGACUCGGUGAUGAGUUGGCUUAUUGCUAACUCAGUGCCGCAGGGAAGCCCGUUAAGUUUGCCGCCUGGGGAGUACGGUCGCAAGACUGAAACUUAAAGGAAUUGGCGGGGGAGCACCACAAGGGGUGAAGCCUGCGGUUCAAUUGGAGUCAACGCCGGAAAUCUUACCGGGGGCGACAGCAGAGUGAAGGUCAAGCUGAAGACUUUACCAGACAAGCUGAGAGGAGGUGCAUGGCCGUCGCCAGCUCGUGCCGUGAGGUGUCCUGUUAAGUCAGGUAACGAGCGAGACCCC